This 2900-nucleotide ribosomal RNA is filed under the name Clostridioides difficile. RNAcentral describes it as "23S ribosomal RNA". It matches the Rfam family "Bacterial large subunit ribosomal RNA". The record is from RNAcentral. Lineage: Bacteria; Bacillati; Bacillota; Clostridia; Peptostreptococcales; Peptostreptococcaceae.
UGGUCAAGUUAUUAAGGGUGCAGGGCGGAUGCCUUGGCACUAGGAGCCGAUGAAGGACGUGAUAAGCUGCGAUAAGCUUCGGGGAGUUGCACGUAAACUUUGAUCCGAAGAUUUCCGAAUGAGGAAACUCACUUAGAGUAAUGUCUAAGUAUCAUUAAGUGAAUACAUAGCUUAAUGAGGGGAACUCAGGGAACUGAAACAUCUAAGUACCUGAAGGAAGAGAAAGAAAUUCGAUUCCGUAAGUAGCGGCGAGCGAACGCGGAUUAGCCCAAACCAAUAAAGUUUUCUUUAUUGGGGUUGCGGACAUAUCAUAACGAAGAGGUAUCGUAAUUGAAGAGGUUUGGAAAGACCCACCACAGAAGGUAAUAGUCCUGUAUGUUAAACGAGAAGACUUUAGAUAUGAUCCAGAGUACCACGGGACACGUGAAACCCUGUGGGAAGCAGGAGGGACCACCCUCCAAGGCUAAAUACUACCUAGUGACCGAUAGCGUAUAGUACCGUGAGGGAAAGGUGAAAAGAACCCCGGGAGGGGAGUGAAAUAGAACCUGAAACCCUGCACUUACAAGCUGUGGAAGCACAUUUCUUGUGUGACCGCGUACUUUUUGUAGAACGGGCCAACGAGUUACGUUAAGUAGCAAGGUUAAGCACUUAAGGUGCGGAGCCGUAGCGAAAGCGAGUUUUAACUGAGCGUUCAGUUACUUGACGUAGACCCGAAACCGGGCGACCUACCCAUGAGCAGGAUGAAGCGAAAGUAAAAUUUCGUGGAGGUCCGAACCCACGAGCGUUGAAAAGCUCGGGGAUGACUUGUGGGUAGCGGUGAAAUUCCAAUCGAGCCCGGAGAUAGCUGGUUCUCCCCGAAAUAGCUUUAGGGCUAGCCUCAAGGUGAGAGAUACGGAGGUAGAGCACUGAAUGUCCUAGGGGGUAUUGCACCUACCGAAGACUAUCAAACUCCGAAUGCCGUCAUCUUAUACUUGGGAGUCAGACUGUGGGUGAUAAGAUUCAUAGUCGAAAGGGCAACAGCCCAGAUCGUCAGCUAAGGUCCCUAAAUGUAAGUUAAGUGGUAAAGGAUGUGGGAUUGCACAGACAACCAGGAUGUUGGCUUAGAAGCAGCCACUCAUUUAAAGAGUGCGUAAUAGCUCACUGGUCGAGUGAUCCUGCGCCGAAGAUUUCCGGGGCUAAAACUUACUACCGAAGCUACGGCAUCAGUAAUGAUGGGUAGGGGAGCUUCCCAUACGGGUUGAAGCAUGACCGUAAGGACAUGUGGACAGUAUGGGAGUGAGAAUGUUGGCAUGAGUAGCGAGAUGUGGGUGAGAAUCCCACAGGCCGUAAACCCAAGGUUUCCAGGGGAAGGUUCGUCCGCCCUGGGUUAGUCGGGACCUAAGCUGAGGCCGAAAGGCGUAGGUGAUGGACAACAGGUUGAUAUUCCUGUACUACCGAUAACCGUUUGAGAGAAGGGAUGACACAGUAGGAUAAGCUAAGCACACUGUUGGUUAUGUGUGCCCAAGCAUUGAGGCAGUCAAAGUAGGCAAAUCCGCUUUGAUAAUGCUGGGAUGUGAUGGGGAGCGAAAUUUAGUAGCGAAGUAGCUGAUUUCACACUGUCAAGAAAAGUCUCUAUCGAGGUUAAAGGUACCCGUACCGCAAACCGACACAGGUGGGUGAGGAGAGUAUCCUAAGGCCAGCGAGAGAACUGUUGUUAAGGAACUCGGCAAAAUGACCCCGUAACUUAGGGAUAAGGGGUGCCACCAUCAGGUGGCCGCAGAGAAUAGGCCCAAGCGACUGUUUACCAAAAACAUAGGUUUCUGCUAAGUCGCAAGACGAUGUAUAGGAGCUGACGCCUGCCCGGUGCUGGAAGGUUAAGGGGAUCUGUUAGAGCAAUCGAAGCAGUGAACUUAAGCCCCAGUAAACGGCGGCCGUAACUAUAACGGUCCUAAGGUAGCGAAAUUCCUUGUCGGGUAAGUUCCGACCCGCACGAAAGGCGUAACGAUUUGGGCACUGUCUCAACAACAGACUCGGUGAAAUUGUAAUUCCGGUGAAGAUGCCGGAUACCUGCGACAGGACGGAAAGACCCCAUGGAGCUUUACUGUAGCUUGACAUUGGGUCUUGGUACUACAUGCACAGGAUAGGUGGGAGGCUUUGAAACCAGGACGCCAGUUUUGGCGGAGCCAUCCUUGGGAUACCACCCUUGUAGUACUGGGACUCUAACCAUAGGCCAUGAAUCUGGUCUUGGGACACUGUCAGGUGGGCAGUUUGACUGGGGCGGUCGCCUCCCAAAAGGUAACGGAGGCGCUCAAAGGUUCUCUCAGUACGGUCGGAAAUCGUACGUAGAGUGUAAAGGCAAAAGAGAGCUUGAUUGCAAGACAUACAGGUCGAGCAAGGAUGAAAAUCGGACUUAGUGAUCCGGUGGUUCUGCGUGGAAGGGCCAUCGCUCAACGGAUAAAAGCUACCCUGGGGAUAACAGGCUUAUCUCCCCCAAGAGUCCACAUCGACGGGGAGGUUUGGCACCUCGAUGUCGGCUCAUCACAUCCUGGGGCUGUAGUAGGUCCCAAGGGUUGGGCUGUUCGCCCAUUAAAGUGGUACGCGAGCUGGGUUCAGAACGUCGUGAGACAGUUCGGUCCCUAUCCGUCGCAGGCGUAGGAAAUUUGAGAAGACCUGUCCUUAGUACGAGAGGACCGGGAUGGACGUACCUCUGGUGUACCAGUUGUCCUGCCAAGGGCAUGGCUGGGUAGCUAUGUGCGGAAUGGAUAAGCGCUGAAAGCAUCUAAGCGCGAAGCCAACUUCAAGAUAAGAUUUCCCACCGCAAGGGUAAGACCCCAGAAAGACUAUCUGGUUGAUAGGUCGAAGGUGUAAGUGCAGCAAUGUAUUUAGCUUAUCGAUACUAAUAGGUCGAGGACUUGACCAAU